RNAcentral lists this long non-coding RNA (636 nucleotides) under Carica papaya (papaya). RNAcentral's name for it is "long non-coding RNA (CPAP_LNC008936)". The record is from RNAcentral. Lineage: Eukaryota; Viridiplantae; Streptophyta; Magnoliopsida; Brassicales; Caricaceae.
UCAUAAUCUGUGUCACCACAUUCUCCAACAAAAACCACCAUCUUCGACAAGUCCACACCCCACCUAACAUAGAGGUACCUGAAAUUUUGUUUGACGCUUUUAGAUUUCUGUAGAUAACAAUGAAGUAUAAAGUUGAACACGUUGAAUGUUUAAUCAUGCAGGGAAAUAGAAAACAUUGGAAGAUUCAUCAAACAGACGAAGAGAAAUUUGAAUAGCAAAAGACAACAACUCAUUUAAUUAAUUUUUUUUUACAACAAACUAUUUAAUUUUGUUGAAUACCACAUUGUUGUCUGUAACACCAUGUGAUAUGAUUCAAAUUAGUCAGCAACAUAACUGGGAAGGCACCAGCAAAAAAGAGAUUUAGGAAGUGACCCACUCUGCUUGACUCUGGAUCUCCAGUCAUUGUUGCUGUUCCCACUUGCAAGCACAGAAUUUUUAGUCACCCACACUUAAUAUACCAGAACCAAGACCUCCAAGACACAUAGUUACUGAUCACACAUGAGAAAUGAAGGUUAAAAGUCCAAUAGGUCAAUUUAACCCACCACCUAACCACCUUUUCUUGCUUAUAUGAAGAAAAUCAAUAUUGCAGAUUACCAUUUGUAAAGGCUUAAUUGUCAUAGAUCUGUUACUUCCACC